Molecule: long non-coding RNA, 764 nt
Organism: Arachis stenosperma
Lineage: Eukaryota; Viridiplantae; Streptophyta; Magnoliopsida; Fabales; Fabaceae
Exons: 3
Source: RefSeq, a predicted model, not a curated record
GAGAGAAAAGGGGGAGGUCGAGGGGGAGGGGGGAUCACAGAACGGGAAGGAGAGGAGAGGGGAAGGGAGAGGCGCUGCCGGUGGUGACCACGCCACUGCCGCCGCUGACCUUGAGGGGAAAACGAGAGUGAGAGAGAGACAUGCACAGAACGCGCGACGUGAGCAAGAGAAGGAGCUCAUCUUUGUUGCCGCCGUCACCGCGCCUUGCCGUUGCUGUGGUUGAUGGAAGCCGCCGCUAUCACUGGAAGGAACCAAACAGAGAGUAGAUCACUGUUGAUGUUGCCGCAGAGAGGAAGGAAGGGACGCGUGUGAGAAAGUUAUGCAACAGAGGAGGAGCCGUUCCUCUGCCGCCGCCGCCUCCGGAAUUCCUGGUCGCCACCGUCAUUCAUGACUUGUUUUCAAAGCAGACAACCUUGGUUGGGAAAAAUUGUCAAUUGCAGUGCCUUCUGCUAUGGCUUUGACAGCUGAUCCUAUUGCUUCACUAGUUGACACAACAUUCAUUGGCCGAAUAGGAAAAUCAUUAUGAGGGUGAGGGAGAACUUCAUCACACAUUGAGAAGAUCGAACACAAGAGAGUAAAAAUUACCAAUUUGUGGAGAUGAUGGGGAGUCUAUUUGCUAUUGUAAUAUAUCAAAUCUUUUGUUUAUGAUUAGAUAUUGUUAUGACUUAAACUUUUAUUAUGUGAUUUUAAAGUAUCCUAGCUUAUUUGACUUCUAAAAGCUAUGUUUUUUUAGGUCACAAACAUUCAUUAAUCUUAUAGUGUAC